Taeniopygia guttata (zebra finch) is the source of this 598-nucleotide non-coding RNA. The record is from RefSeq and is a predicted model, not a curated record. NCBI's taxonomy places the organism in Eukaryota, Metazoa, Chordata, Aves, Passeriformes, Estrildidae.
UUCUGUAUCAGCAGGUCUUCGUUGCAUUGGAAGAGGAGGCUGUAGUGUGAGAUGAAAACCCGGAGGCGCUGCACGCACACCAGCAGCAGCUCUGUGUGGAAAACCCAUGCUGUUCACAAAGGGUGCACAGCACUGAAGCUGCUUCCUGGAGCCGAGUCAGCAAAACUGCAGAGUCUCCCCCCUUCUCUCUUGGUGGGUACCAGCAAUUUGAGACAUUUGUAAAAGAUAACAAUGGUCCUUGCAGCCUAAAGCUUUGUUAAAGCUUUGAAGCAGCCCAGGGAAGAUGGCUGUGGACAGCAGAUGGAGAUGGUUUAUGGAAGGAAGGAGUGGGAUGGAAAGAGGGCAGCAGAGCCUUGGUGAACUGGGUCACUGUCCUGGCUGCCACUGAAAGAAUGAGAGGGAGCCCUUGCUUCUCUGAGUAGCUGUGUCCCCACAGGUUUCCCCCAGCACUGGCCAGGGCUCUGUCUCCACAGGGACUUCCAUUUGCAUCUGCACCCUUGGCAGCUGCCUAAAUCUUUACACCAGAACAGGACCUGCUGUCUGGGACCUUGAGCUGAAGCCUGUCAAAACCAGUAGAAAAUAGGCUCUGAUAAAGAAA